Molecule: long non-coding RNA, 420 nt
Organism: Mya arenaria
Lineage: Eukaryota; Metazoa; Mollusca; Bivalvia; Myida; Myidae
Exons: 3
Source: RefSeq, a predicted model, not a curated record
CUCGGAUAUAAUACGGGUCGUAAGAAAAUAGUCCAUCAUGGCCGACCAAGAAGGUGUUCAAACAAUCAAGAGAUAUGUUAGUCCAAAGACAGAAUGAGGAGCGAACUUUUACCACUUAUUUGUGUAGAAGAGUAUGGUACCAGGGGUGCAGCUGACUCUGAUUCCCGGCUUGUUCUAAUGAAAAAAGGCAGAUGAGGCACUGGAAUCCGAAUGUAAUCAAAAAUGCCAUUGUAUGAGGAUUGACCUGCAAUACCUGGAAAUCAUCUAACACAACUGCAACGCCUACUUUGGAAAAAUGAGUGCAAGAUGGAAACAAAGCUUUCAGUGGAACAUCUUGUCAUCUCAAAUAUUUGAUGACUUACAUACUGAUGUGAAGUUGAAGAUAAAACUCAUCUGUUGGUCCGUGAUUAUUAAAUAAAU